Molecule: ribosomal RNA, 484 nt
Filed under: uncultured bacterium
Lineage: Bacteria
Description: partial 16S ribosomal RNA
Rfam family: Bacterial small subunit ribosomal RNA
Source: RNAcentral
AUUGAACGCUGGCGGCAUGCUUUACACAUGCAAGUCGAACGGCAGCGCGGGCUUCGGCCUGGCUGCGAGUGGCGAACGGGUGAGUAAUACAUCGGAACGUGCCCAGUAGUGGGGGAUAGCUCGGCGAAAGCCGGAUUAAUACCGCAUACGACCUGAGGGUGAAAGCGGGGGAUCUUCGGACCUCGCGCUAUUGGAGCGGCCGAUGGCAGACUAGCUAGUUGGUGGGGUAAAGGCCUACCAAGGCGACGAUCUGCAGCUGGUCUGAGAGGACGACCAGCCACACUGGGAGUGAGACACGGCCCAGGCUCCUACGGGAGGCAGCAGUGGGGAAUGUUGGACAAUGGGCGAAAGCCUGAUCCAACAAUGCCGCGUGUGUUAUGAAGGCCUUCGGGGUGGAAAGCACUUUUGGCGGGAACGAAAAGGACUGUGCCAAUACCACGGUUCGAUGACGGUACCCGCAGAAUAAGCACCGGCUAACUACGUG